AUGAGUGUCACAGGCGGCCAAGCAAAUAUGCUACUUAUCAACACACGCAUGCACGCACAGUACAUGUUAUCUAUCAAAGUAACAACAAAUCAGAGACAAAUGCCUCAUGUUGUCCCCACGGUUCAAUGGAAUGGAUUGUAUCUAAUCAGGACAUCCAAUCAGUGGUGUCAUCAUCACAAUGAACCCACGAACAUGUACAACAAGGGAGCAGGUACCUUUCUCUGCUUGGAGCUCCUUGUGCGGGUCAUUGGAGCUCCUUGUGCGGGUCAUGUCGUGGAUGCCCUCCAUGGAAGGAACGAACUGCUGCUGCUGCUCCAGACCGAAUCAAAUCAAUGUGGUGCAAUGUAG
RNAcentral lists this ribosomal RNA (348 nucleotides) under Triticum aestivum (bread wheat). Its description in RNAcentral is "partial small subunit ribosomal RNA". Lineage: Eukaryota; Viridiplantae; Streptophyta; Magnoliopsida; Poales; Poaceae. The record is from RNAcentral.